GAUGAACGCUGGCGGCGUGCCUAAUACAUGCAAGUCGAACGCUGGAAAUCUAGCUUGCUAGAUUGAAGGAGUGGCGAACGGGUGAGUAAUACAUAAGCAACCUACCCACGAAGACUGGGAUAAUCUCUGGAAACGGGGACUAAUACCGGAUAGGUAAUCGGAAGGCAUCUUCUGAUUAUUAAAGGUUAAAAACACUGGUGGAUGGGCUUAUGGCGCAUUAGUUAGUUGGUGAGGUAACGGCCCACCAAGACGAUGACGCGUAGCCGGCCUGAGAGGGUGAACGGCCACAUUGGGACUGAGACACGGCCCAGACUCCUACGGGAGGCAGCAGUAGGGAAUUUUCGGCAAUGGGGGAAACCCUGACCGAGCAACGCCGCGUGAGUGAUGACGGCCUUCGGGUUGUAAAGCUCUGUUGUAAGGGAAGAACGGUAGAUAGAGAAUAUCUAAAUGACGGUACCUUACCAGAAAGCCACGGCUAACUACGU
Molecule: ribosomal RNA, 485 nt
Filed under: uncultured bacterium
Lineage: Bacteria
Description: partial 16S ribosomal RNA
Rfam family: Bacterial small subunit ribosomal RNA
Source: RNAcentral